GACGAACGCUGGCGGCGUGCUUAACACAUGCAAGUCGAACGGAAAGGCCCUGCUUUUGUGGGGUGCUCGAGUGGCGAACGGGUGAGUAACACGUGAGUAACCUGCUCUUGACUUUGGGAUAACUUCAGGAAACUGGGGCUAAUACCGGAUAGGAGCUCCUGCUGCAUGGUGGGGGUUGGAAAGUUUCGGCGGUUGGGGAUGGACUGGCGGCUUAUCAGCUUGCUGGUGGGGUAGUGGCUUACCAAGGCAUUGACGGGUAGCCGGCCUGAGAGGGUGACCGGCCACAUUGGGACUGAGAUACGGCCCAGACUCCUACGGGAGGCAGCAGUGGGGAAUAUUGCACAAUGGGCGGAAGCCUGAUGCAGCAACGCCGCGUGCGGGAUGACGGCCUGCGGGUUGUAAACCGCUGUCGCCUGUGACGAAGCGUGAGUGACGGUAAUGAGUAAAGAAGCACCGGCUAACUACGUG
This 468-nucleotide ribosomal RNA is filed under the name uncultured bacterium. RNAcentral describes it as "partial 16S ribosomal RNA". It matches the Rfam family "Bacterial small subunit ribosomal RNA", at positions 28 to 507 of the family's 1533-position model. The record is from RNAcentral.